AUGGGGCCUUUCGCCUCGCAAACGACCCGCCACGAAAGAGAACUGGCUCGGCCUCUGCCGGCUCAGCAACCCACGUGGGAGGCCCUUCUCGGGAUCUCCUUUGACGUCGGGGCCGCGCCCACACGCGCAGCGGGGAGAGCACCCAGCCAGGUGCGCGCGCUCCGCACCCCGGCACAGCCAGGCCUGGGAAUCCCCGCGCAGCUCCUCAGGCACGCACCCGGCCGGCGCGUGGGCGUCGCCGGCCACUGCGCAGGCGCCGACGCGCUUUCCUCGGCCGGGCGCGCGCUCGCCGCGGGUUACGCUCUGGGAGGGCGGAGGGCUGCGCGUGCACGAGCGGGCGACCGUGACGUGCGCCGCGUUACGCUCGACGUCACGGGUCCGUGUGUAGUGGCGGCCGAACUGCCCUCAGCGGCGGCGCCUGACGCGGGUGGUGUGGCUGCUGGGCGCGGCGUUCUAGGGGUCGCGCGGGCGGCGGCGAGGGCUACGACCGGGACGCCCGACACCCGAGGCCGCACAGCCGCCGCUCCCGCCCCUUCUCCAGCCUCUGGCCGUGCCGGCCCUCGGCUUCCUCCUUUCCUGGCCAGCCCUCCGCGGGCCUUGGGGCUGCAGCGGCGAGAAGCACCGAGGGGGCGAGAGGCCCCGGACGGCCGCGACGCUCCACGCGCCCGCCUCCCCGGCCGGCCCGGGCUCCAUGUGAAGGAGGGACGGGCCCGGCCCGCCGGCCCGCGCCCGACUGCUCGCGCGCCCCUCCGGCCCCCGGGGGCGCCGCGGCCUCCCCGGACCGGGGGCCGCGGUGACAGGCCGCGCGGGGGCGGAGGGGCGGGCUCGGCGGCGGCGGCGGCGGCCCUUCCGCGGGCCUGCGGCUCCGGCGUCCCCGCAGAGCGCCCGGUACGUGCCUGUGUGAGUGUGCGUGUGUGGCAGGGCCGCGGCGGCCUGUGUGCCGCUCCCGCGGGGGCGGGGAUUUCGCUCCGGGAGGGCAGACCCGGGUCUCCCCUUCGGCCGCACGGCUGUCAGAUGCGUGCCGUGCGGGGGUUUUGGAGGGACGGUUGCGGCCGGUGUCUGGGACGAAGCGGGGAUGUUACGUGGAGUGCGUCCCGAAGUGCUGGUCGUCUUUGCACGUUCGGAGCGUGCUCCUCUCUUGUUUCCCCUUUCUUUACGGAACGUUUAGCUAGUGUUUACGGAGCUCCUCACUCUGCCCCCCGGCGGGUGGGCUUUCUCUCAUUCCGUCUUCCCCGCCCGGUGAGGUGGGCGCGUUGUCUCCCCAUUGUACAGAUGCAAAAUAGAGGCUUUCCGAAACCUAGAGGAAAGCGUUUGCCCAAGGUCAUUCAGCCGGUGGCUGUCGAGGAAGUCUUGAUUAGAUUAUGCAUACGUCUUUCCGUCUUACAAAAAGAAAUACAUGAGGAAAAUGAGCCAGGCUGGACAGUUUAUUCCUGGGGGUAA
Molecule: long non-coding RNA, 1440 nt
Filed under: Oryctolagus cuniculus (rabbit)
Lineage: Eukaryota; Metazoa; Chordata; Mammalia; Lagomorpha; Leporidae
Description: lncRNA (ENSOCUG00000036580.1)
Source: RNAcentral